RNAcentral lists this ribosomal RNA (253 nucleotides) under uncultured bacterium. RNAcentral's name for it is "partial 16S ribosomal RNA". It matches the Rfam family "Bacterial small subunit ribosomal RNA", at positions 524 to 776 of the family's 1533-position model. The record is from RNAcentral.
UACGGAGGAUCCAAGCGUUAUCCGGAUUUAUUGGGUUUAAAGGGUGCGUAGGCGGCCUAUUAAGUCAGGGGUGAAAGACGGUAGCUUAACUAUCGCAGUGCCUUUGAUACUGAUGGGCUUGAAUGUACUUGAGGUAGGCGGAAUGUGACAAGUAGCGGUGAAAUGCAUAGAUAUGUCACAGAACACCAAUUGCGAAGGCAGCUUACUAAAGUAUGAUUGACGCUGAGGCACGAAAGCGUGGGGAUCAAGCAGG